RNAcentral lists this ribosomal RNA (490 nucleotides) under uncultured bacterium. RNAcentral describes it as "partial 16S ribosomal RNA". It matches the Rfam family "Bacterial small subunit ribosomal RNA", at positions 29 to 507 of the family's 1533-position model. The record is from RNAcentral.
AUUGAACGCUGGCGGCAGGCCUAACACAUGCAAGUCGAACGGUAACAGGAAGCAGCUUGCUGCUUCGCUGACGAGUGGCGGACGGGUGAGAAAUGUCUGGGAAGCUGCCUGAUGGAGGGGGAUAACUAGUGGAAACGGUAGCUAAUACCGCAUAAUGUCGCAAGACCAAAGAGGGGGAGUUUAGGGCGGCUUGCCAGCGGAUGAGCCCAGGUGGGAUUAGCUUGUUGGUGGGGUAACGGCUAACCAAGGCGACGAUCCCUAGCUGGUCUGAGAGGAUGACCAGCCACACUGGAACUGAGACACGGUCCAGACUCCUACGGGAGGCAGCAGUGGGGAAUAUUGCGCAAUGGGCGCAAGCCUGAUGGAGCCAUGCCGCGUGUGUGAUGAAGGCCUUCGGGUUGUAAAAUUCUUUCAGCGGGGAGGAAGGGAGUAGAGUGAAUACCUUCGCUCAUUGACGGUACCCGCAGAAGAAGCACCGGCUAACUCCGUG